UCUAAUAAAAAUUAUAAAUUCAAAAUAAGAAAAAUGUUUAGAAGUUAAAAAAAUUUGUAGAAAGAGAGAGAAAAAAAAAACAGAAAUUGAAACUAAUUGAAUGGACUAAAAUACCCCUCGCGUGUUAAUCAGAGUGUUGUACUGGUUAGGGUUUCGGCGAGAUGCCUAUAAAUACUGAACAAUGCCCUUGUUAGCUUCCCUAGCCGGUCUUGCAGUCAGAAAAUAGCCUGUUCGAGAAAACUCGGCGGAUAGAAGGAAGUCUACUACGAGAUCGUGAGAGAAGAUGAGAGCUAAGUGGAAGAAGAAGCGUAUGAGAAGGUUGAAGAGGAAGCGCCGAAAGAUGAGGCAGAGAUCUAAGUAGGCUUUUUUGUUAAAUUGGCAAGACGGGCUUGGUUUCCUGAAGAGAUAGGGUUGGUUCUUCAUCUCAUUAUCCCCCAAUAUGGUUUGAAGUUGAAGAAGAUUGCCAAAUUCUUUUCUGGAAAUUACAUCUGCCGUGUUUUUUUAUUUUAGUCUUAGUAUCGGAAAGACUUCUUAAAGCCGUGUGGACAUCUUACAUUCGGCUCAUUUCUAUGUUGGAGAUUUGAGAAAUUUUUACCUACUUCAAGCAGUUUCUUGCAUAUGCUUGGUUUGCU
Non-coding RNA from Carica papaya (papaya), 632 nucleotides. NCBI's taxonomy places the organism in Eukaryota, Viridiplantae, Streptophyta, Magnoliopsida, Brassicales, Caricaceae. The record is from RefSeq and is a predicted model, not a curated record.